CCAGACGGCUGGACGAUCGCUGUGACCGGGAUGAGGAUCCCUGUCAUGGAGGAAAGUCCGGGCUCCAUGGGAAAACGGUACCGGCUAACAGCCGGCGGGGGCGACCCUAGGGACAGUGCCACAGAAAACAGACCGCCCGCCGGACUGUUCCUUCUGGAACAUGUCGCGGGUAAGGGCGAAACGGUGCGGUAAGAGCGCACCGCGAUUCCGGCAACGGCGUCGGUCACGGUAAACCCUACCGGGAGCAAAACCGAAUAGGAACGGCAGGCUGUCGCAAGAUGGCCGGGAGCGUCUCACUCCGUCGUUCGGGUUGGUUGCGUGAGGCAUGCAGCAAUGUAUGUCCCAGAGGAAUGAUCGUCCCGCCUUUGGCGGACAGAACCCGGCUUACAGGCCGUCUGGCACC
Non-coding RNA from Gluconobacter oxydans H24, 403 nucleotides. Lineage: Bacteria; Pseudomonadati; Pseudomonadota; Alphaproteobacteria; Acetobacterales; Acetobacteraceae. The record is from Rfam.